GACGAACGCUGGCGGCGUGCUUAACACAUGCAAGUCGAACGAAGUGGCGAACGGGUGAGUAACGCGUAAUUAACCUGCCCUUCAGAGGGGGACCACAGUUGGAACCGACUGCUAAUACCGCAUACUGACGGCGGGGAUUGCGUCUGAUUAGAUAGUUGGAGGGGUAACGGCCAACCAAGGCGAUGAUCAGUAGCCGGUUUGAGAGGAGGAAUGGCAACAGUGGGACUGAGACACGGCCCAGACUCCUACGGGAGGCAGCAGUGGGGAAUCUGCCGCAAUGGACGAAAGUCUGACGGAGCAACGCCGCGUGAGUGAUGACGGCCUUCGGGUGGUAAAGCUCUGUUAAGCGGGACGCGGUACCGGAAUAGAAAGCCACGGCUAACUACGUGCCAGCCGCCGCGGUAAUUC
This 408-nucleotide ribosomal RNA is filed under the name uncultured bacterium. RNAcentral's name for it is "partial 16S ribosomal RNA". It matches the Rfam family "Bacterial small subunit ribosomal RNA", at positions 28 to 526 of the family's 1533-position model. The record is from RNAcentral.